Molecule: transfer RNA, 89 nt
Filed under: Streptomyces acidiscabies
Lineage: Bacteria; Bacillati; Actinomycetota; Actinomycetes; Kitasatosporales; Streptomycetaceae
Description: tRNA-Ala
Source: RNAcentral
GUUCGAGCGGGCGGCGCAGACCGCGCGGGAGUUCGCGACGGCCGUGGAGCGCCAGCGCCUCGGGCGGGGUUCGGGUCCCGGCUUCGACC